AGCGAACGCUGGCGGCAGGCCUAACACAUGCAAGUCGAACGAACCUUCCGGGGUUAGUGGCGGCCGGGUGAGUAACCGGUGGGGACGGUCACUUAGGUUCGGCCUAACUCAAGGACAGUGGUGCUAACACCGAAUGUGCCCUACGGCGGGAAGAUUAAGCGACUUUCGAGGGGCCCGGGUCUGAUUGGCUAGUGGGUUGAGGUAAUGGCUCACCAAGGCGGCGCUCAGUAGCUGGUAGGGACGGAUGAUCAGCCAACGGGGGACUGAGACACGGCCCAAACACCUACGGGAGGCAGCAGUGGGGAGUCUUGCGCAGUGGGCGAAAGCGGGCCGCAGCCAGGCAGCGUGAAUGAUGAAGGACGAAGGAUUGUAAAAUUAUCUCACCAGGGACGAUAAGGACGGUACCAGGAGAAGACGCCUAGCCUCACG
Molecule: ribosomal RNA, 429 nt
Filed under: uncultured bacterium
Lineage: Bacteria
Description: partial 16S ribosomal RNA
Rfam family: Bacterial small subunit ribosomal RNA
Source: RNAcentral